GCGGUAAGGCCCUUCGGGGUACACGAGCGGCGAACGGGUGAGUGUGGUGGGUGAUCUGCCCUGCACUUCGGGAUAAGCCUGGGAAACUGGGUCUAAUACCGGAUAUGAGCCUCCACUGCAUGGUGGGGGUUGGAAAGGUUUACUGGUGCAGGAUGGGCCCGCGGCCUAUCAGCUUGUUGGUGGGGUAAUGGCCUACCAAGGCGACGACGGGUAGCCGGCCUGAGAGGGCGACCGGCCACACUGGGACUGAGACACGGCCCAGACUCCUACGGGAGGCAGCAGUGGGGAAUAUUGCACAAUGGGCGAAAGCCUGAUGCAGCGACGCCGCGUGAGGGAUGACGGCCUUCGGGUUGUAAACCUCUUUCAGCAGGGACGAAGCGAGAGUGACGGUACCUGCAGAAGAAGCACCGGCCAACUACGUGCCAGCAGCCGCGGUAAUACGUAGGGUGCGAGCGUUGUCCGGAAUUACUGGGCGUAAAGAGCUCGUAGGCGGUUUGUCGCGUCGUCUGUGAAAACCAGCAGCUCAACUGCUGGCUUGCAGGCGAUACGGGCAGACUUGAGUACUGCAGGGGAGACUGGAAUUCCUGGUGUAGCGGUGAAAUGCGCAGAUAUCAGGAGGAACACCGGUGGCGAAGGCGGGUCUCUGGGCAGUAACUGACGCUGAGGAGCGAAAGCGUGGGUAGCGAACAGGAUUAGAUAC
This 700-nucleotide ribosomal RNA is filed under the name Rhodococcus sp. 291/d. RNAcentral's name for it is "bacterial SSU rRNA". It matches the Rfam family "Bacterial small subunit ribosomal RNA", at positions 66 to 785 of the family's 1533-position model. Lineage: Bacteria; Bacillati; Actinomycetota; Actinomycetes; Mycobacteriales; Nocardiaceae. The record is from RNAcentral.